CAGUUUUGUUUUGGGCGGCUCGGCCCGCGAAAGCAACCGGCCGCCACAAACAUUUCUACCCUUGAAUUUGAGCACCUUCGUUUCCUCGGCGGGUCCGCCCGCCAGCAGAGGACCCCAUUGAACUCUUUGUAGUAGCAGUAUUUGUCUGAAAUAUAAAGCAAUAAUCA
This 167-nucleotide unclassified non-coding RNA is filed under the name uncultured Ascomycota. Its description in RNAcentral is "sequence contains ITS1". The record is from RNAcentral. Lineage: Eukaryota; Fungi; Ascomycota.